GGGGAAUAUUGGACAAUGGGCGCAAGCCUGAUCCAGCAAUGCCGCGUGGGUGAAGACGGCCUGCGGGUUGUAAAGCCCUUUAGGUGGGGAAGAAGAGUGGAGCGCGAACACCGUUUUACUUUGACAUUACCCACGGAAUAAGCACCGGCUAACUCCGUGCCAGCAGCCGCGGUAAUACGGAGGGUGCGAGCGUUAAUCGGAAUGACUGGGCGUAAAGCGUGCGUAGGUGGUAACGUUAGUCAGCCGUGAAAGCCCUGGGCUUAACCUGGGAAUGGCGGUUGAAACGGCGUAACUCGAGUGGGCUAGAGGACCGUGGAACUCCCGGUGUAGCGGUGAAAUGCGUAGAGAUCGGGAAGAACACCGAUGGCGAAGGCAGCGGUCUGGGGCCACACUGACGCUGAGGCACGAAAGCGUGGGGAGCAAAC
Molecule: ribosomal RNA, 425 nt
Filed under: uncultured bacterium
Lineage: Bacteria
Description: bacterial SSU rRNA
Rfam family: Bacterial small subunit ribosomal RNA
Source: RNAcentral